UACGUAGGGCGCAAGCGUUGUCCGGAAUUAUUGGGCGUAAAGAGCUCGUAGGCGGCUCGUCGCGUCGGAUGUGAAAGCCUGGGGCUUAACUCCAGGUCUGCAUUCGAUACGGGCGGGCUAGAGGCAGGUAGGGGAGAACGGAAUUCCCGGUGUAGCGGUGAAAUGCGCAGAUAUCGGGAGGAACACCGGUGGCGAAGGCGGUUCUCUGGGCCUGUACUGACGCUGAGGAGCGAAAGCGUGGGGAGCGAACAGG
This 253-nucleotide ribosomal RNA is filed under the name uncultured bacterium. Its description in RNAcentral is "partial 16S ribosomal RNA". It matches the Rfam family "Bacterial small subunit ribosomal RNA", at positions 524 to 776 of the family's 1533-position model. The record is from RNAcentral.